CUUAUAAGUAAUGUGGUCUCUGGAAAACUCCACUGUACACUAGUGAAAUAAUAAAAUUGAAAAAUGCCAAUAUCAUCUCAGCAUCAUUACAAAAAUAGUUUAGACUUCAAGAAUCCCCUGAAAGGGUCUGUGAAAAGUAAAGUAGAGGUUCCUCUUCAAAGACUUUUCUCCCCAUCUAAUUAGGAAUAAAUAGUAACUUCUCUUAGGAGCAAAAUAUAUUCAAAUACCUGUGCUAACUUUCUUAAGUAUCUGCUAGCCGUAAUAAAGAAAUGAAUGUACUUUAUGUUCUUAGCUCCCAUAGUUUAGCCUAAAUAUUUGCCCUGGCAUGCUUAUACUGGUCCAAGCAAGCAUUAGGUCAUAGCCUGUUCCUCUUCCUUAUUUGGAGGUCUUUUUAGCUUCCUCAGCAAUCCAUAAGUUACUUCCUCAUUCCUUUGUUCUCCUCUGCCUUUGCCUCUUUUAAAAAGUUCUAAGUUGGCCGGGCGCAGUGGCUCAAGCCUGUAAUCCCAGCACUUUGGGAGGCCGAGGCGGGUGGAUCACGAGGUCAGGAGAUCGAGACCAUCCUGGCUAACAUGGUGAAACCCCGUCUCUACUAAAAAUACAAAAAACUAGCCGGGCGUGGUGGCGGGCGCCUGUAGUCCCAGCUACUCGGAGGCUGAGGCGGGAGAAUGGCGUGAACCCGGGAGGUGGAGCUUGCAGUGAGCCGAGAUCCGGCCACUGCACUCCAGCCUGGGCGACAGAGCGAGACUCCGUCUCAAAAAAAUAAAUAAAUAAAAUAAAAUAAAAUAAAAUAAAAAGUUCUAAGUUGCUAGCCAACUGGGACAAAUACAGAAUGUGAGGUCCCAUUCCAGCCAAUGGAAACCAGACACAGCAGUAGGGUGGACACAUCAGGUUAUAAAUGACCCUGUCUCCUUUGUUCGGUGUACUCUCGUGACAAAACUGCUGGGUCUGGCUGUCACUCAGGCUGGUCUCAAACCCCUAGGCUCAAGAGACCCUCCCACAUUGGCUUGUCAAAGUGCUGGAAUUACAGGUGGUCCAAGCCAGGAACUUAAGAUAGAUGGAAGAUUAUGUUUUGUUCCUUUACACUGUGAAGUAUUCUGUACUAUAUAAUGCCUCAUUGUCUGUAAUCAACAUAUCUAACUCUUUAUAAUAGAUAAUUAUUUCCAAUUUCUCAUUAUUAUAAGUAGUGCUAUUGCUAGCUCCUCAAAUGUAUGCCUUUGUGAGGAUAUCAGAUUAUAACCUUAGAAUACAUUUGUAGAUGUAAAAUAAAGGAUAUACACAUAUACAUUUUGCCACAUACUCCCAACUGCCCUCUUAAGAAGUGCCAGAUUUUACUACAUGGAGUCCUUUUCCUAUACUCGAUUUCCAAUGUAGACAUUAUAAUAUUUUUCCCCUUUUUCAAUAAAAUGGGUAAAAAAGUGACAUCUUGAUAAAUGUGUGUUUUCUUUUCUGUGGUUACAAGCAAAGUGGAACCUCUGUUUUAUAUAUUUAUUGGCCUUUUGCACUUCUCCAUUUGUAAAUAACACCUUUAUCUUUUGGUCCAUUUUUCUAUUGGCAGGUUUAUCUUUUUCUUGUCAAUUUGCAAGAGCUAUUGAAAGCUUAGCAACACACUUAAACAAUGUUGGUUUUUAUUUUACAUUUUGGAAAUUGCCUUUACCUCAAGGGCUGCCCACUGUUAAAACUAGACCAUGAGAAUAAAACUUACUGUUUCAUUGAAGUGGUUAAUAGGAAGAAGAAACAAAAAUCAAAUUCCUGACUUGGAGUUCCAAAAUAGGCACUUGAUAUUGUUACUGGUGGGCGAGAUCUGAGUUACUCGUGGCAAAUCCGUAGACGUAUGCAGCAACCUCAAUUCUUACCUCCUCAGAAGAAAGGAUUCAACUGAGGGACAUAAGGCAGAAAAAGAGACCAAGGCAAGUUUCAGAGCAGGAAUGGAAGUUUAUUUUAAAAGGCUUCAGAACAGGAAAGAAAGAAAGGUAUGCUUGCAAGAGACUCCAAUAGACACUGCAGACUACUGUGGGGGAGAGAGGGAGGUGAACAAGGGUUGAAAAACUACCUGUUGGAUGUUAUGCUCACUACCUUGGUGACAGGUUCAAUCAUACCCUAAACCUCAGCAUCACGCAAUAUACCUUAGUAACAAACCUGCACAUGUACCCCCUGAUUCUAAAAUAAAAGUUGAAAAAGAAAAUAAAAGGAGUCUAAGACAGUUCCUCAAGUUUUGUAUAGCUAAAGGAAUAGCUGAGGCCAGGUGCGGUGGUUCACACCUGUAAUCCCAGCACUUGGGGAGGCCAAGGCAGGUGGAUCGCGAGGUCAAGAGAUCGAGACCAUCCUGGCCAACAUGGUGAAACCUCCUCUCUACUAAAAAUACAAAAAUUAGCUGGGCAUCAUGGCAUGCACCUGUAGUCCCAGCUACUCGGGAGGCUGAGGCAGGAGAAUCACUGGAACCUGGGAGGCAGAGGUUGCAGAGAGCCGAGAUCAUGCCACUGCACUCCAGCCUGGCGACAGAGCAAGACUCUGUCUAAAAAAAAAAAAAAAGAAAAACGGAAUAGCUGAGAGAGUUUCAACAGACAAGAUGCCAUAUCAGGUCAGAAAUGUUCCUUCACCAGAUAGGAUAUUGAUUAUAUAAGCCACAUGUCAUGGCAGAAGCAAAAAUAUCAGAGGCAAAAACGUGAACAGCAAGUACAGUGAGGAUAGAGGCUAUAAACCAAGUACAUAUUAUUAGACCCCAGCAGAUGACAACUGGACCAGUUUCCUCCUUGUACCAAUGCCAAGGCACCAUGUUAACCACCUGGAAUACAACUGCGAGUUAGGGAGAGGGGGCACAAGAAGGGAGGUAUACAGAUUAGACAAAAAAUUACCAGUAUCAAAAUGGAGUCACUAUGUGAAGCCCUAAUAAAAGAGAGCUGGAGGCCAUGAAAAAGGGGUCCUCAUACAUGCAUACCUAUGCUGGGAACUCUGCAAGGAAUUCCUUAAAACUGCAGUAUUCCAGAUGAGCUGCUUGCCCAAAGACACUUGCCUAACAAUGACUGUCUCUGCCAAUGAGCUAAUGCCAGCUCUUGCAACAAGCUCCAAUAGUCUUGUUCCAAAACAGCUUCUAUGGACUUCACCUUUCUGUCUUUAAAAGCUUUCCCCUACGCCAACUCCCCUGGAUGCACCUAUGAUCCAUCAUAGCAUGCAUGUUCUGGAUUGCAAUCUCCUGCUACUGCGGAAUAAACUCUUUGCUCUGGAAGAUCAGUCUCUCUGUUGCUCACUUUAGGUUGACACAGAAAACCC
Molecule: long non-coding RNA, 3267 nt
Filed under: Papio anubis (olive baboon)
Lineage: Eukaryota; Metazoa; Chordata; Mammalia; Primates; Cercopithecidae
Description: lncRNA (ENSPANG00000049498.1)
Rfam family: Metazoan signal recognition particle RNA (bases 609-755)
Source: RNAcentral